GAACGAGGAGGAGGAGGAAGAGGAGGAGGAGAAGAACUGCUUGUUAUACAGUUCGAAGAGGAAGAAGAAGAAGAGGAGGAGGAGGAGGAAGAGGAGGAGAGGAGGAAGGGAGGAAGAAGGGAGUGAGUCAGUAUAGGACGAGGCCGUGAAGAGAGAAGAAGGAAGAGGAGGAAGAAGAAGAGGAAGAAGAAGAAGAGGAAGAAGAAGAGGAAGAAGAAGAGGAGGAAGAAGAAGAAGAGGAAGAAGAAGAGGAAGAAGAAGAGGAAGAAGAAGAGGAGGAAGAGGAGGAGGAAGAAGAAGAAGAAGAAGAGGAGGAAGAAGAAGAAGAAGACCUUGUAUAUCUUACCUUAUCUUACCUGAGGUUGAACUUGAACUUGACGUCGCAAACACCUGAUGUCGGUAAAUGUAUGAUUCAGCGAGUCAGUUCUCUCCAAGUUCCCUCCACGGCCCCUCCAGCUCCCUCCAUCCACUCCUCCACCUCUCCUCCACAUGACACCCCCCCUGUUGUGCUGGGACCUGGGAACACCUGACCCCUGACCUGACUGGACCUAUGAACACUUGACUGGUUGAGUGUGACCCCUGGGAACACCUGACCACCUGACCCUUGUGCUGACUGGACCUAUGAACACUUGACUGGUUGAGUGUGACCCCUGGGAACACCUGACUGCCUGACCCUUGUGCUGACUGGACCUAUGAACACCUGGCUGUCUGAGUGUGACCCCUGGGAACACCUGACUGCCCGAGGAGAACUGGAACUUGUGUGUGUCUGUGGGCGUCUGUGUUGACCCCAAGCCUUCAGGAGGACAGCAGGCUAUCUUGACCCUCCUGGACGCUGCCUUCCUCUGUGCUGCGUCGUCGGCCGUGCUGUAAAAUAAGGAAUAAAAUGUGAUCUCGAUCCCUUG
This is a long non-coding RNA of Eriocheir sinensis (Chinese mitten crab), 902 nucleotides long. RefSeq lists it as uncharacterized. The transcript has 3 exons. The record is from RefSeq and is a predicted model, not a curated record. NCBI's taxonomy places the organism in Eukaryota, Metazoa, Arthropoda, Malacostraca, Decapoda, Varunidae.